AUUGAAGUAAAUGAAAGUAAAAAAUUUCGCUACAGAUGAAUUUUCGAUAUUAGGACAAUGAAAACCAGAAUGUUUGCAAUCAAGGACAUUCCAAAAAAAGCAAAAGAAAUUUAUUUUAUUGACAAAAGCAACAACAUUGAUUACAAAUCAAGUUUUUGAUGACAAUGAUGAAAUAGACAGUGCUGAUAAAAAAUGACUGACAAAUAAGCUGCAUUCAGUAUCGAAAAUGUAGAAGAGGAAACACCAUUGACAACAGUUGAGGGGAAAAUCUGUUAUUUAACUUAUAACGAAUUGUUUUUAAAAAAGAAGAUUUUCAAAUUA
Molecule: long non-coding RNA, 321 nt
Organism: Hydra vulgaris (swiftwater hydra)
Lineage: Eukaryota; Metazoa; Cnidaria; Hydrozoa; Anthoathecata; Hydridae
Source: RefSeq, a predicted model, not a curated record